AUGGCGACGGCGGCCGGCGGCGGGAGCAUGAUGACGAGGGAGCAGCUGCUCCACCUCUUCUCCCGCUUCUCCUUCCUCACCUCGCUCCCAGAGUUCAAGGACCGAAUCGCCGACGCCGUCAGCGACAAGCAGGAGGCCGUGGCGGUGACCACCGAGGUGCAAGAGGAGAUCCUUCGCGAGAUGGGGAUCGAUCCAGGUUUUGGUAUUAGCUGCCUGGGAAAGGUGAACGUCGUGUAUGAGAAUGACAUGGAUUUGAUGAUUAAAUUCUACCAGUUUGUUGCCAAAGAAGAGAUGGCUAUUGACGAGGCCGAGCUUGAGCCUCUAGAGUUUGCCGAGAAAAUGCACACUCAACAGGAAUUGCAACAACAGCAACUGGAGAUGUUGGUUCAAAUUAGAAAAUACAGCCCCGAGAGCCAAUCUGUCAUACUUGAGACUUUGCGCAAGCAGUUGGAGAGUGCUGAUUUCGAUACCAGUGCGUCAAUCUCGACUCCGGAGCAGAUCCAAGAGAUUGUUGAGAAAUAG
This 522-nucleotide ribosomal RNA is filed under the name Triticum aestivum (bread wheat). RNAcentral's name for it is "partial small subunit ribosomal RNA". The record is from RNAcentral. Lineage: Eukaryota; Viridiplantae; Streptophyta; Magnoliopsida; Poales; Poaceae.